Molecule: ribosomal RNA, 1963 nt
Filed under: human gut metagenome
Description: bacterial LSU rRNA
Rfam family: Bacterial large subunit ribosomal RNA
Source: RNAcentral
UCAAGCAAGAAAGAGCACAAGGAGAAUGCCUUGGCACUAGGAGCCGAUGAAAGACGUGGUAAGCUGCGAAAAGCUUCGGGGAGGCGCAAACAGCCAUCGAUCCGGAGAUAUCUGAAUGGGGAAACCUACUUGAGCAAACCUCAAGUAUCCAUACGUGAAUCCAUAGCGUAUGGAAGGGAACGCUGUGAACUGAAACAUCUAAGUAGCAGUAGGAGGAGAAAGAAAACUCGAUUUCCUAAGUAGCGGCGAGCGAACGGGAAAGAGGCCAAACCGAAGGACCUGGUUCUUCGGGGUUGCGGACUGCAAUUAGCAUUGCUGAGAGAUAGACGAAUGGUUUUGGGAAAGCCAGCCGUAGACGGUGAAAGCCCGGUAGACGAAAUCUUGAAGCAGCGAGCAGGAUCCAGAGUACCACGAGACACGAGAAACCUUGUGGGAAGCCGGGGGGACCACCCCCCAAGCCUAAAUACUCCCUAGUGACCGAUAGUGAAGCAGUACUGUGAAGGAAAGGUGAAAAGGACCCCGGGAGGGGAGUGAAAGAGAACCUGAAACCUUGUGCUUACAAACAGUCAAAGGCCUACGGGCUGAUGGCGUACUUUUUGUAGAACGGUCCGGCGAGUUACUAAUGCCAGCGAGGUUAAGAUGUCAGAAGCAUCGGAGCCGAAGGGAAACCAAGUCUGAAUAGGGCGUAGAGUUGGUAUUAGUAGACCCGAAACCGGGUGACCUAUCCAUGUCCAGGUUGAAGGAACCGUAAAAGGUUUUGGAGGACCGAACACACAUGUGUUGAAAAACGUGGUGAUGAGGUGUGGAUAGCGGAGAAAUUCCAAUCGAACUCGGAGAUAGCUGGUUCUCCUCGAAAUAGCUUUAGGGCUAGCCUCGAGCUGGAGUCUAACGGAGGUAAAGCACUGAACUGACGCGGGGCCCAAAAAGGUUACCAACUCAUAUCAAACUAAGAAUGCCGUCAAGAUACCCUCGGGAGUCAGUCUGCGUGAGAUAAGUCGCGUGGACAAAAGGGAAAGAGCCCAGACCGACAGCUAAGGUCCCAAAGUACGUGUUAAGUGGAAAAGGAUGUGGGAUUUCAUAGACAACUAGGAUGUUGGCUUAGAAGCAGCCAUACAUUUAAAGAGUGCGUAAUAGCUCACUAGUCGAGAAAACCUGCGCCGAAAAUGUAACGGGGCUAAAACACGACACCGAAGCUACGGAUUUCCUACAAGGUAGGAAGUGGUAGAGGAGCAUCCUGCAAGGACGAAGCCAAAGUGAGAGCGAUGGUGGACGAAACAGGAGAGAGAAUGCCGGAAUGAGUAGCGAGAUACAUGUGAGAAACAUGUAGGCCGAAUAUCUAAGGAUUCCUGGGUAAAGCUAAUCUUCCCAGGGUUAGUCGGGGCCUAAGGCGAGGACGAAAGUCGUAGUCGAUGGAUAACAGGUUGAUAUUCCUGUACUACACAUAAUCAGAACUGUGGGGACGCAGGAGGAUAGGGAAACCGGGGAAUGGAAAGACCCGGUCAAGCGUAAAGCUGUGGGAGAUAGGCAAAUCCGUCUCCUGUAAGUGAAACGUGAUGAGGACUGAAAAAAAGUAAGGAAGUUUCCGAAUCCACACUGCCGAGAAAAGCCGCUAUUGCGUUAUGUGUACCCGUACCGUAAACCGACACAGGUAGAUGAGGAGAAAAUCCACAGGCCGACGGGAGAAGUGUUGUUAAGGAACUCGGCAAAAUGACCCCGUAACUUCGGGAUAAGGGGAGCCUCGCAAGAGGCCGCAGAAAAGAGGCACAAGCAACUGUUUAGCAAAAACAUAGGUCUAUGCGAAACCGUAAGGUGAAGUAUAUGGGCUGACGCCUGCCCGGUGCUGGAAGGUUAAAAGGAGAGGUCAGCGCAAGCGAAGCUUUGAAUUCAAGCCCCAGUAAACGGCGGCCGUAACUAUAACGGUCCUAAGGUAGCGAAAUUCCUUGUCAGGUAAGUUCUGACCCGC